AUGCUUAGGGUUGUUUUGAAGAAUAACAAGAAAAUGUGGGAAGAAUGCUUGCCUCAUAUCGAAUUUGCUUAUAAUCGUUCAUUGCAUUCUACUACUAAGAUGUGCCCUUUUGAAAUUGUGUAUGGUUUCCUACCUCGUGCACCUAUUGAUUUGUUGCCUCUUCCAUCUUCAGAGAAGGUUAAUUUUGAUGCUAAAGAAUGUUCUAAAUUGAUUUUAAAAAUGCAUGAGUUAACUAAGGAAAACAUUGAGCGUAUGAAUGCUAAAUAUAAACUUGCCGGAGAUAAGGGUAGAAAACAUGUUGUGUUUGCGCCUGGAGAUCUUGUUUGGUUACAUUUGCGUAAGGAUAGAUUUCCUAAUCUGCGCAAAUCAAAGCUAAUGCCACGUGCUGAUGGUCCUUUUAAGGUGUUAGAGAAAAUAAAUGAUAAUGCAUAUAAACUUGAGCUACCUGUAGAUUUUCGGGUUAGUCCCACUUUUAACAUUGCAGAUUUGAAGCCUUAUUUGGGUGAGGAAGAUGCGCUUCCGUCGAGGACGACUUCAUUUCAAGAAGGGGAGGAUGAUGAGGACAUCAAUACCAUUGUUACACCCACAACCCCUACUGUUACAUAUACUGGACCAAUUACUAGAGCUCGCGCACGUCAAUUAAAUUACCAGGUACUUUCGUUUCUUGGUAAUGAUUCUAAUGUUCAUGAGAUUAUGAUGCUGCCUAAAUUGGAUACAUUUGUUUUGCUUACAAAUGAAGGGCCUAGCUUGGAGAAGGAUGAACAUUGGAGCAAGAACACGCAUGGAGUUGAUGGCAUGCGCAAGGGGAUCAAGAACGGAGUUACAAGUGAUGAUUUCAGGACUUUGAAGCCGCCAUAA
This 858-nucleotide ribosomal RNA is filed under the name Triticum aestivum (bread wheat). RNAcentral's name for it is "partial small subunit ribosomal RNA". The record is from RNAcentral. Lineage: Eukaryota; Viridiplantae; Streptophyta; Magnoliopsida; Poales; Poaceae.